GUGAGGAAUAUUGGUCAAUGGUCGGAAGACUGAACCAGCCAUGCCGCGUGCAGGAAGACGGUCCUAUGGAUUGUAAACUGCUUUUAUUCGGGGAUAAACCUCCUUACGUGUAGGGAGCUGAAGGUACCGAAAGAAUAAGCACCGGCUAACUCCGUGCCAGCAGCCGCGGUAAUACGGAGGGUGCAAGCGUUAUCCGGAAUCAUUGGGUUUAAAGGGUCCGCAGGCGGGAUUGUAAGUCAGUGGUGAAAUCCGGCAGCUCAACUGUCGCACUGCCAUUGAUACUGCAGUCCUUGAAUUCGAUUGGAGUGGGCGGAAUAUGUCAUGUAGCGGUGAAAUGCUUAGAUAUGGCACAGAACACCAAUUGCGAAGGCAGCUCACUAAGGCGAUACUGACGCUGAGGCACGAAAGCGUGGGGAUCGAACAGGAUUAGAAACCCCAGUAGUCC
Molecule: ribosomal RNA, 445 nt
Filed under: uncultured bacterium
Lineage: Bacteria
Description: partial 16S ribosomal RNA
Rfam family: Bacterial small subunit ribosomal RNA
Source: RNAcentral